This 90-nucleotide transfer RNA is filed under the name Pinus elliottii (slash pine). Its description in RNAcentral is "tRNA-Lys". Lineage: Eukaryota; Viridiplantae; Streptophyta; Pinopsida; Pinales; Pinaceae. The record is from RNAcentral. RNAcentral also lists the same sequence under 1 other name.
GUAACCUCGCAUUCCACUUCGAUCGUAUAUAUCCUCAAUAUCUAUUCGCAAUAUGCCGACGAGCUCCGGGUUCGAGUCCCGGGCAACCCG